GACGAAGCCCAGAGGCAGAAGAAAGUGCUGUCUGUGGUCAGGAAGGACGACGUUGAUGACUCGCGGUGACUCCACUUUGUUGGCAUCUGAACGGCGAUGAAAACAACCUUUCAGCAUUUUAUCGUCCAAUCAAGCAAUGCUAGACACAUGAAAAACACACUCCACCUUUUUUUCCCCCUUUUCCUACCAAAAAUACUUUCCUGACUAAAGAAGACAGGAAAAUAAACCUGAGUAUGUGGGAUUCUCAAGGAGAAAAAAAAUCCAGUCAGCCUUCCAGAAUGUUGAUGGAAGCCAAAGUCAACAUGGCAGAGGACAGUCAGAGAGACGGGGGGAAAGGCAAAAGACUGAAGAUGAGCUGCCUGUUUUUUAAUCACAAAUAGAUGGAUGGAUGUUUUGUGAUCUGCCUGGAUCAGAAAGAUAAAUGAUUUGAAAACGUUUUUUCAUGAUUCCUGUGGUUGCACAAGUGUGCACACCCUCCUAUAACUGGGGGAUUAACCAAUUACAUUCAAACUCAUGUCACACUUAUGCUAACAAUUUAUGAGCCUGUAAAAGGAUUAAGGUUGUUCCAGGAACAGAUUGUUUGUUUUUGUGCAAAUCUUUUUGUAAUCCUUCGGAGGACGGGGGGGGAGUCAUUUCCAUUAUAAUUAAAUUAUAAAUCAAAAACUCUUUUUGAAAAGGCGCUGGAGGCUCUUCUGUAGUUCUGAGAGAGAAGGAUUAAUUGUGAGGGCAGAGAUGGAUUUCAACUCCUGUGGAUAAAAUUCCACUGGAUUGAGAUCAUAUUGGCACAGACACACACAGGCGUACACACACACACACACACACACACACACACACACACACACACACACACACACACACACACACACACACACACACACACACACACACACACACACACACACACACACACACACACACACUCAACCACAGGAAUUUCUCCAAAACCUUCUAAAUGAAUUUGCCACAUUUAUACAUCCACCAUUAUCAGCUAUGACUCAAAACAAAGUGUCUGCUUUCACCCUUCUUCUCUUCUUCUGUCUUAUACUGAGAAAUGUGAACUUGGAAAUGUGCACAUCAAUAGAAGAAUGUUGUUUAUGCAUGAAAAACAACACCAUAUCCUGUAACUCACACAGGCAAAUAUACAAACAGACUCAGAAUGAGAGAAGGCAAUUAAAAGUCCCCGAUGAAA
This is a long non-coding RNA of Syngnathus acus (greater pipefish), 1189 nucleotides long. RefSeq lists it as uncharacterized. Lineage: Eukaryota; Metazoa; Chordata; Actinopteri; Syngnathiformes; Syngnathidae. The transcript has 2 exons. The record is from RefSeq and is a predicted model, not a curated record.